CCUACGGGGGGCAGCAGUGGGGAAUAUUGCACAAUGGGGGAAACCCUGAUGCAGCGACGCCGCGUGAGCGAAGACGUAUUUCGGUAUGUAAAGCUCUAUCAGCAGGGAAGAAAAUGACGGUACCUGACUAGGAAGCUCCGGCUAACUACGUGCCAGCAGCCGCGGUAAUACGUAGGGGGCAAGCGUUAUCCGGAUUUACUGGGUGUAAAGGGAGCGUAGACGGGUGUGAAAGCCAGAUGUGAAAGC
RNAcentral lists this ribosomal RNA (246 nucleotides) under uncultured bacterium. RNAcentral describes it as "partial 16S ribosomal RNA". It matches the Rfam family "Bacterial small subunit ribosomal RNA", at positions 338 to 601 of the family's 1533-position model. The record is from RNAcentral.